RNAcentral lists this ribosomal RNA (254 nucleotides) under uncultured bacterium. RNAcentral's name for it is "partial 16S ribosomal RNA". It matches the Rfam family "Bacterial small subunit ribosomal RNA", at positions 524 to 776 of the family's 1533-position model. The record is from RNAcentral.
UACGUAGGGUGCGAGCGUUGUCCGGAAUUAUUGGGCGUAAAGAGCUCGUAGGCGGUCUGUCGCGUCGGUCGUGAAAACUUGGGGCUUAACCCUGAGCUUGCGGUCGAUACGGGCAUGACUGGAGUUCGGCAGGGGAGACUGGAAUUCCUGGUGUAGCGGUGAAAUGCGCAGAUAUCAGGAGGAACACCGGUGGCGAAGGCGGGUCUCUGGGCCGAUACUGACGCUCAUGCACGAAAGCGUGGGGAGCAAACAGG